Molecule: long non-coding RNA, 501 nt
Filed under: Cyanistes caeruleus (blue tit)
Lineage: Eukaryota; Metazoa; Chordata; Aves; Passeriformes; Paridae
Description: lncRNA (ENSCCEG00000017365.1)
Source: RNAcentral
GUUGACUGAAAUUUAAAAUCUUUUCCUAAUCCUGGGGAUGUGAUGGCAGCUUGCUUGCACUGGCAUCCAAAAGCUACAGUAUUGUCAGAAAUUGUAGCAAAGCUGAGGUAGCUUUGACUGGACUGACCUCAAAUACGAUGUGAACAGCUGUGUGGGGAGAGGGAUGAGAGGUUGUGGGGGGAGGCUGUCUAUACGCUCGUUUGAUCUUCAGUCAGCAUUAUGAGUAAGCACAGUAUUUAGAUGACUGAGAAGAUGAUAAAUCAUCAGUUAUGAAAGGAGGUGAGGAAAAUUUUCAGGGCUGUUGAAUAUUCCGGAGGUCAGGAUUCAGGAUGCUGCACUCUCCAGUGGCCCCUGCUAUGAAUAACAGAGAAAGGACAGCUACAGUCUCUGUUAUGGUGAUCUGCACUUCCCAAAUAAAUAAGAGCUUGCAGAAAUUAUUGAAAGAAAGAAAAUAAGAAGGUAAGCAAUAUAUGCUCUUUACCAUUCUGGUUUCUUUUUGUU